AAAAAAUCCCACCUUUUUAUAUACCACUCAUUCCCCCUUCUUCCGUAUUUUCUACUCCAACCCCAUAAAUUUCUCCUUUUCCGCACUUUCCCUCUGUUUCCCAAGAAAAACUAGAGAAAACCCAAUUCAAGAACAAGAAGAAAACUCGAUUUCCAGGUAGAAAUGAGAGAAAUCCUCCACAUCCAAGGUGGCCAAUGCGGUAACCAGAUCGGAGCUAAGUUCUGGGAGGUGAUUUGCGACGAGCAUGGCAUUGACAACAUUGGAAAGUACAGCGGCGACUCUGAACUUCAGCUUGAGCGUAUCAAUGUUUAUUAUAACGAGGCCAGUGGUGGCAGAUACGUGCC
Molecule: unclassified non-coding RNA, 344 nt
Filed under: Hevea brasiliensis (rubber tree)
Lineage: Eukaryota; Viridiplantae; Streptophyta; Magnoliopsida; Malpighiales; Euphorbiaceae
Source: RNAcentral